RNAcentral lists this long non-coding RNA (303 nucleotides) under Calidris pugnax (ruff). RNAcentral's name for it is "lncRNA (ENSCPUG00000012349.1)". The record is from RNAcentral. Lineage: Eukaryota; Metazoa; Chordata; Aves; Charadriiformes; Scolopacidae.
GAGAGCAUGGGAAGCCCAGGAGCACAUGGGGACAGCAGGUCACUCUACAGACAUGAGGAAAGGUACAUCAGCACUUGGGGACCAAGACCUUUGUUGAGUGGAUAUUAUGCAGCAGGAAUUUGCAAAACUAAGCCAUGCCCUGAACCUGGAGGGGGAAGAUGGAGACUGGGCUCAGGUCCUAGGUCUGUCUGCCAGUGGGCACCGUGCUGGUUGCAGUGGAGACUGAGGCAGGUAAGGGAGGUUUGGAAAGGGUGGGCUUGAAGUCUGCUUGACAGGGUUAUGCCUCUAGUAAGAAGUGGGCAC